RNAcentral lists this ribosomal RNA (450 nucleotides) under uncultured bacterium. Its description in RNAcentral is "partial 16S ribosomal RNA". It matches the Rfam family "Bacterial small subunit ribosomal RNA", at positions 338 to 795 of the family's 1533-position model. The record is from RNAcentral.
CCUACGGGAGGCUGCAGUAGGGAAUAUUGGACAAUGGGUGCGAGCCUGAUCCAGCCAUGCCGCGUGCAGGAAGAAGGCGUUAUGCGUUGUAAACUGCUUUUGCCAGGGGAUAAAAUAACUGUGCGCAGUUGAUUGAAGGUACCUGGUGAAUAAGCCACGGCUAACUACGUGCCAGCAGCCGCGGUAAUACGUAGGUGGCAAGCGUUGUCCGGAUUUAAUGGGUUUAAAGGGGACCCUGGAAACCCGGUAAGAAAUAUCUCAGCUUAACUGAGAGGGUGCCAUUGAUACUGCGGGGCUUGAGUACAGAUGAGGUAGGCGGAAUUGACGGUGUAGCGGUGAAAUGCAUAGAUAUCGUCAAGAACACCGAUAGCGAAGGCAGCUUACCAAGCUGUAACUGACGCUGAGGCACGAAAGUGUGGGGAUCAAACAGGAUUAGAUACCCGAGUAGUC